Long non-coding RNA from Poeciliopsis prolifica (blackstripe livebearer), 533 nucleotides. RefSeq lists it as uncharacterized. Lineage: Eukaryota; Metazoa; Chordata; Actinopteri; Cyprinodontiformes; Poeciliidae. The record is from RefSeq and is a predicted model, not a curated record. The transcript is spliced from 3 exons.
CACAGCUCCUCGUUAUUCUGACGGUCAGCAGGAAACCCGGUUGCUCAAGGUGCUGCAGAUGUUGCACGGAGCGACAGUGAAGAGGAAAACAGGAAGGAACGUCCAGCAGAACCAGAACUUGGAUCAGAGUUUAGAGCGGACAGAACCAGAACCACAGAACCUGAUCCGCAUGUGGCCUCGCAUUGUGCUGGAAGGAGGAUCUGCUGCAGUUCAUUUUAACCUCGGCAUGAACAACUGGCUGCAGAGGACAGCGGGAGGAGUUAAAUGUUUCAGCGGAAGGUCAAAGAUUCUGCCUUGUCCUUCGGCUGCUGAAAGUUUUCUGAUCUCCUGGUAAAGAACCCUGCCUGUCGCUGACCCUGCCUCCUGCUUGCUGUUUGCUGGAUAUCUGUGCCUGUGGCUCUCCUGUGUAUGACCCUGGAUCGUCUCUCUCCGUCUCUGGUUUGUGGACUUUGCCCCUGUGGUCUGUUUGUUCUCUGACCCCCCAAGACUGUCUGUUGUCCUGUCAUCCUACUUCGUCCCACCCCCGGCUGGAU